This 477-nucleotide ribosomal RNA is filed under the name uncultured bacterium. Its description in RNAcentral is "partial 16S ribosomal RNA". It matches the Rfam family "Bacterial small subunit ribosomal RNA", at positions 28 to 507 of the family's 1533-position model. The record is from RNAcentral.
GAUUAACGCUGGCGGCGUGCAUAACACAUGCAAGUCGAACGAUGAAACUUUAAUGAACCCUUCGGGGAGAAUUAAAGCGGAUUAGUGGCGAACGGGUGAGUAACGCGUGAGUAACCUGCCUUACACAAGGGGAUAGCCUUUGGAAACGAAGAAUAAUACCCUAUAAAACCAUAAAAGCACAUGCAAUUAUGGUCAAAGUGAUAGCGGUGUAAGAUGGACUUGCGUCUGAUUAGCUAGUUGGUGAGAUAAAAGCCCACCAAGGCAACGAUCAGUAGCCGGCUUGAGAGAGGGGACGGCCACAUUGGGACUGAGACACGGCCCAGACUCCUACGGGAGGCAGCAGUGGGGAAUUUUGCACAAUGGGGGAAACCCUGAUGCAGCGACGCCGCGUGAUUUAGAAGGCCUUCGGGUUGUAAAAAUCUUUUGUAUAGGAAGAAAAUGACAGUACUAUACGAAUAAGGUCCGGCUAAUUACGUG